GAUGAACGCUGGCGGCGUGCCUAAUACAUGCAAGUCGAACGGGGAGUGUAGCAAUACAUUCUUAGUGGCGAACGGGUGAGUAACGCGUUGGUGACCUGCCCCAAAGAGUGGGAUAACAGUUCGAAAGGAUUGCUAAUACCGCAUGAGAUCUAGAGGAUUAGAAGCCUCGAGAUGAAAGGAGAAAUUCGCUUUGGGAGGGACCUGCGUCCCAUCAGCUAGUUGGUAGGGUAGUGGCCUACCAAGGCGAUGACGGGUAGGGGACCUGAGAGGGUGGCCCCCCACAAUGGAACUGAAACACGGUCCAUACACCUACGGGUGGCUG
This 322-nucleotide ribosomal RNA is filed under the name uncultured Chloroflexota bacterium. RNAcentral describes it as "bacterial SSU rRNA". It matches the Rfam family "Bacterial small subunit ribosomal RNA", at positions 28 to 351 of the family's 1533-position model. The record is from RNAcentral. Lineage: Bacteria; Bacillati; Chloroflexota.